GAUGAACGCUGGCGGCGUGCCUAACACAUGCAAGUCGAACGAAGCACUUGAAUGGAAUUCUUCGGAAGGAAGCUUAAGUGACUGAGUGGCGGACGGGUGAGUAACGCGUGGGUAACCUGCCUCAUACAGGGGGAUAACAGUUAGAAAUGGCUGCUAAUACCGCAUAAGCACACAGCGCUGCAUGGCGCAGUGUGAAAAACUCCGGUGGUAUGAGAUGGACCCGCGUCUGAUUAGCUGGUUGGUGGGGUAACGGCCCACCAAGGCGACGAUCAGUAGCCGGCCUGAGAGGGUGAACGGCCACAUUGGGACUGAGACACGGCCCAG
Molecule: ribosomal RNA, 324 nt
Filed under: uncultured bacterium
Lineage: Bacteria
Description: bacterial SSU rRNA
Rfam family: Bacterial small subunit ribosomal RNA
Source: RNAcentral